CUAACCUGCCCACUGAUUUAUUAAAGGGCCGCGGUAUAUUGACUGUGCAAAGGUAGCAUAAUCAUUUGUCUUUUAAUUGAAGGCUAGAAUGAAUGGUUGAAUGAGAUAUAUGCUGUCUCAUUUUAAUAAAUAUAAAAAUUUAGCUUUUAAGUUAAAAGGCUUAAAUAAAGUUAAAGGACGAGAAGACCCUAUAGAUCUUUAUAUAAUUUAUAAAUUAAUAAAUUUAAGAAUAUAAAAAUUUUAAAUUAUAAAAUAUAUUUGGUUGGGGUGACUGGAAGAUUUAAAGAACUAUUUUUAUUUUAUACCAUAAAUUUAUGAAUAAUUGAUCCAAUUUUAUUGAUUAAAAGUUUAAGUUACCUUAGGGAUAACAGCGUAAUUUUUUUAGAGAGUUCUUAUCGAUAAAAUAGAUUGCGACCUCGAUGUUGAAUUAAAGA
Molecule: ribosomal RNA, 434 nt
Filed under: Thaumatosmylus zheanus
Lineage: Eukaryota; Metazoa; Arthropoda; Insecta; Neuroptera; Osmylidae
Description: partial large subunit ribosomal RNA
Rfam family: Bacterial large subunit ribosomal RNA
Source: RNAcentral